GACGAACGCUGGCGGCGUGCUUAACACAUGCAAGUCGAACGGAAAGGCCCUGCUUUUGUGGGGUGCUCGAGUGGCGAACGGGUGAGUAACACGUGAGUAACCUGCCCUUGACUUUGGGAUAACUUCAGGAAACUGGGGCUAAUACCGGAUAGGAGCUCCUGCUGCAUGGUGGGGGUUGGAAAGUUUCGGCGGUUGGGGAUGGACUCGCGGCUUAUCAGCUUGUUGGUGGGGUAGUGGCUUACCAAGGCUUUGACGGGUAGCCGGCCUGAGAGGGUGACCGGGCAGAGUGGUACAGAGAUGAGGGGCGGACUGCUUCGGGCGGCAGGGGUGGGGGGGGGUGCACGGUGUGCGGUAGCAAGAUGCAGCAGCGCGGCGUGCGGGAGGGGGGGCUGAGGGGUGGAAACGGCGUGCGCCUGAGCUGAGGCGCAGGGGACGAGAAUGGAGAACGAAAAACCCACACGCAAUAUC
RNAcentral lists this ribosomal RNA (468 nucleotides) under uncultured bacterium. RNAcentral describes it as "partial 16S ribosomal RNA". The stretch from base 12 to 374 matches the Rfam family "Bacterial small subunit ribosomal RNA", at positions 39 to 400 of the family's 1533-position model. The record is from RNAcentral.